RNAcentral lists this unclassified non-coding RNA (335 nucleotides) under soil metagenome. Its description in RNAcentral is "partial contains 5.8S ribosomal RNA, internal transcribed spacer 2, and large subunit ribosomal RNA". The stretch from base 1 to 120 matches the Rfam family "5.8S ribosomal RNA", at positions 35 to 154 of the family's 154-position model. The record is from RNAcentral.
GAUGAAGAACGUAGCGAAAUGCGAUAAGUAAUGUGAAUUGCAGAAUUCAGUGAAUCAUCGAAUCUUUGAACGCACAUUGCGCCCGCCAGUAUUCUGGCGGGCAUGCCUGUUCGAGCGUCAUUUCAACCAUCAAGCCCCAGGCUUGUGUUGGGGACCUGCGGCUGCCGCAGGCCCUGAAAACCAGUGGCGGGCUCGCUGUCACACCGGGCGUAGUAGAUUUUAUCUCGCUCAGGGCGUGCUGCGGGUUCCGGCCGUUAAAAAGCCUUUUUUACCCAAGGUUGACCUCGGAUCAGGUAGGAAUACCCGCUGAACUUAAGCAUAUCAAAAGCGGAGGA